GACGAACGCUGGCGGCGUGCUUAACACAUGCAAGUCGAACGGAAAGGCCCUGCUUUUGUGGGUUUCUCGAGUGGCGAACGGGUGAGUAACACGUGUGUAACCUGCCCUUGACUUUGGGAUAACUUCACGAAACUGGGGCUAAUACCGGAUAGGAUCUCCUGCUGCAUGGUGGGGGUUGGAAAGUUUCGGCGGUUGUGGAUGGACUCGCGGCUUAUCAGCUUGUUGGUGGGGUAGUUGCUUACCAAGGGUUUGACGGGUAGCCGGCCUGAGAGGGUGACCGGCCACAUUGGGACUGAGAUACGGCCCAGAAUCCUACGGGCGGCAGCAGUGGGGAAUAUUGCACAAUGGGCGGAAGCGUGAGGCAGAAACGCCGCGUGCGGGAUGACGGCUUUCGGGUUGUAAACCGCUUUCGCCUGUGACGAAGCGUGAGUGACGGUAAUGGGUAAAGAAGCACCGGCUAACUACGUG
This 468-nucleotide ribosomal RNA is filed under the name uncultured bacterium. Its description in RNAcentral is "partial 16S ribosomal RNA". It matches the Rfam family "Bacterial small subunit ribosomal RNA", at positions 28 to 507 of the family's 1533-position model. The record is from RNAcentral.